GUGUGCGCUACUAGGUAGACUGUGAGAGCUAGAAAUCCCGACGGUUCACAUCCGUUCCACCAGAGACCUGCCUGUGGCAAGAGCUGACCUCUUAGCUGUCUCCUCUGUGCUUAGGCCUCUCGGGAUUCAAAUGAGGAGGUUCAUACUGCCUCCUGAAGGAACACAGUGCUUUUAUUUUCUAAGAGAAGAUUAAAGUUAUAUACAAAUGCAGCCAUUUAAAAUGAUAGUACCGACAGUAUUAAACAAUGUGCUUUCUCUAUUUUUCAUAGUUCAGAAGAUGCAAAGGCUCCACAAAAGAAGCACAAAGUUCUUUUGCAACAGUUCAACACAGGUGAUGAAAGAUCCCAGAAGCGCCAGCCCAUCCGCGGCUCUGAUGAAGGUAAGAAUUUUCUUCCACCUCACGGUCGUGUAGAUUAUUUAAAGUCAGAAUAACAUCUUCUUCCUGGGAAUCAUCCCCUUGGACCCACAGAACAGCUUCUCUUGGCUGUCCCUUUGCACUCCAAAUGGUUUGCUUGGAGGUGCAUUCCAGUUAUUUAUGUUCUUGAACUCUGUGCCUGGAGCUGAAGUGCCCACAUUUCACUGAUUCGGCCCCACCCCCACUGCCACCUUUCCUUGAUGGAAAGAUUAUCUCAGGGAUCCACUGUUCAGGUGGGAGGAGGGUGGCUGGUACUUUGAAGAUGCCUUGGAGGUGAAGCAGCGGGGUCACCUGUAAAGCAGGAUUUCUGCCCUGGGACCACGCCCUGACCCUGAGACAACCUUGUUAGAGCCAUCAGGGAGGUACAGAUGCUGGCUGUUACUGUUUGCUUGGAUAAGAUUUUUCCAAAGAAAAUAAAAUUAAUAAUAAUGAUCAAAUCUUCAUUUUAAGCCACAGAUGACUCUUGUAAUUUAGGAGAAUUUGGGAGUACCCCAGAUUCAAGAAUUGCAGUAGCUGGAAUUGCUUCCAGGAUUUGGGUGUUGAGAGGUGAACCUGUAAAUGCCAUCUAUGGGUCUGCUGAGCUCAACUUCUGAGCUCUGUGGCCCGGCCUCAGAGUGUACAAACCAGCGAACAAAGGAACAGGGAUGUCGGUGAACGUUCACGGCCUCUGGCAGAAGCACUCCCAUGUGCAGGGAUGUCGAUGUUGGUGCCCCGCCACUGCACCAGGCAAUAAGAAUCUACUGGUCAACCUACAGCACAACGCCUCCUGUAUGGUAAAAAAGAAAGGCUCGCAGGAGUUCCCCUUGUGGCUCAGUGGUAAU
This 1236-nucleotide long non-coding RNA is filed under the name Sus scrofa (pig). RNAcentral describes it as "lncRNA (ENSSSCG00060046528.1)". Lineage: Eukaryota; Metazoa; Chordata; Mammalia; Artiodactyla; Suidae. The record is from RNAcentral.